GAAAAACAGGUUUUCGUCAAAUACGCGCUAAACUGGUUUGACGAUCUGUACCUAUAAAACUGAUCUUCGAACAUGUGAAAGUAUAUUUUCUGUAGUCCACGAGAUCAAGAAAAGAGAGACAGGACUAAAGCUCGCUGGAAAAGGAGUCUUCGUCAGAUCAAGUGAAAAAGAGUCAUAGAACCUUAGUUCGCCAGAAAACCCAACCGAAAGAAAAUGCCUAAAAAAGACGAGACCAAAGCCAAAAAGACCGACGCAAAGCCAGAGGCUGCAAAAGCCCCCGAGAAGCCAAAGGGAAAACCUGCCGCCAAAAAAGCCGACAAAAAGAAAUGACUCUGACUUGGUCUAAAACGUCAAAAAUAAUCAUCCUAGUUUAACCAGUCAACACAUGAUGAUAAAACAGUUGAAAAUAAGGUUAUUUACGAAAAAAUUAGUCUUAGGAUGACAUUGUACUACACAUCAAUAUAACAUUACAAAUAUUAUAUUAUAUUAAGUGUACCUAAUAUAAAUGAGAAAUCAAUAGGAAUAUGCAUC
Molecule: long non-coding RNA, 531 nt
Organism: Actinia tenebrosa (Australian red waratah sea anemone)
Lineage: Eukaryota; Metazoa; Cnidaria; Anthozoa; Actiniaria; Actiniidae
Source: RefSeq, a predicted model, not a curated record